This 429-nucleotide ribosomal RNA is filed under the name Pseudomonadota bacterium. Its description in RNAcentral is "Proteobacteria bacterium partial 16S ribosomal RNA". It matches the Rfam family "Bacterial small subunit ribosomal RNA", at positions 355 to 776 of the family's 1533-position model. Lineage: Bacteria; Pseudomonadati; Pseudomonadota. The record is from RNAcentral.
UGGGGAAUAUUGGACAAUGGGCGAAAGCCUGAUCCAGCCAUGCCGCGUGUGUGAAGAAGGUCUUCGGAUUGUAAAGCACUUUAAGUUGGGAGGAAGGGCAGUAAGCGAAUACCUUGCUGUUUUGACGUUACCGACAGAAUAAGCACCGGCUAACUCUGUGCCAGCAGCCGCGGUAAUACAGAGGGUGCGAGCGUUAAUCGGAUUUACUGGGCGUAAAGCGUGCGUAGGUGGUUCGUUAAGUUGAAUGUGAAAGCCCCGGGCUCAACCUGGGAACUGCAUCCAAAACUGGCGAGCUAGAGUAGGGCAGAGGGUGGUGGAAUUUCCUGUGUAGCGGUGAAAUGCGUAGAUAUAGGAAGGAACACCAGUGGCGAAGGCGACCACCUGGGCUCAUACUGACACUGAGGUGCGAAAGCGUGGGGAGCAAACAGG